AAUGGAAGUGCUGUGUGAGGAUUCUGCUUAGCAAGAACUAAUCAGAGGUAUAUUUUUUUCCUCCCUCUUGUAAACAGAGAAGAGCAAACAAGGUGAAAGAAGUGGAGUUUGACAAACCAAUUAUUUUCUGGCAUUAUGGUGAUCACAGAGAAGAAACUUUCUCCAAGACAUGGAAGGUUCAGGCUGCCAUGACUGUCACACCAGAGCUGACAUAUGGCAAACCUCAGAUCCCAGUGGUCAAGAAAGCAGGCAGAGGACAAAGAAGAGUGCACUGUGGGUUGAACGAUGGCUUAUCUUUCAUUUAUAUCUUUCUGAGUAUCUUCCUGUUUGAUGAAGCUGCUGCAGUCUCCCAUGUGGGGGUUUCUAUACCAAGAUAUUUAGCCCUUCUCCAGAUCACUCUACAGUUGGAAUGUUCCCCCCUUUUGGACAUGGCAGCAUGUGUCUUCCUAGCAGCAACACCGUAACAGUGAUGUUUAAUCAGGAAAGAGGUCGGUGACUAAUAAAGAUGAAGAAAUGGUCAGAGAAUGGAAGUGGCCUCGGGAUGGCAAGCUUGCCCAGCCAGUUAUAGCACAGCCAAAGUUGACAGAGCUGUUGAUGAAAAAUGAAGUUCCAGAGGCAACUGUGAGCCACGUAAAUGACAUCAGUGCAGCCAGAGAACUGAGGAAUUUGCAGAGGAAAAUCCAGAGAAUUGUGGAUAACUGGCUGCAGUAUUAUCACACAGCACUAGGAAUUGACCACAUACACCUUCAGAAAAUGUCUGGCUUUCAUCUGUGGCCCUUAAGGAAGGGCAUAAUUCAAUCUGCAGACGCUGUCCCAGCUACCUCGGGUUUGCAGAGAUCACAAAGGAAGAGGAAAGUGAAGAGCCAAUCUCCCAAGUCAUAAACUCCUCUCCUAGAUCAAAUGCAGUUGGCUCCUCCUUACAGCAUGCAGCAGGAACCAUACUCCUAUCCUCUCAGGUAAAUGAGGGGGACAAGGGGAGGAGAUAAAAGAGCUACUUGUCCCCCAAGUCACAAGUCACUAAAUUGUUCUUUCAUGAUCAUUUACUUAUGCCACACAGUAGGAAUUUACAUCCUUUUCCCAUGAGAUGUCAUUAUCAGUACCUCAGAGACUUCAUAUAUCCCUGUUUAAUACUGUAAAAGCAGCAAGAACAAUGAAGAAGCAGUUGAGAAGGUUUGGGAAAAUACCCAUUUUAGAUCUUUAAAUACUAUUUCAGCAAAUAAGAUUAACGUUUUUGAUUAUUAUCAGUCACACUUGUGAUAGGAACAUCCAAAAAACUCUGGGAUGCCUUCCAAUACCAGCAUUUAGGAAGAUGCAAACCCCACAUGUCACACACUUGGCUGAUGCCC
RNAcentral lists this long non-coding RNA (1346 nucleotides) under Calidris pygmaea (Spoon-billed sandpiper). Its description in RNAcentral is "lncRNA (ENSCPGG00000007182.1)". The record is from RNAcentral. Lineage: Eukaryota; Metazoa; Chordata; Aves; Charadriiformes; Scolopacidae.